CCCUUAGAUGUUCUGGGCCGCACGCGCGCUACACUGAUGCAUUCAACGAGUUUCUUCCUGGUCCGAGAGGAAUGGGUAGCCUUUUGAAAGUGCAUCGUGACGGGGAUAGAUUAUUGCAAUUAUUAAUCUUCAACGAGGAAUGCCUAGUAGGCGCAAGUCAUCAGCUUGCGUCGAUUACGUCCCUGCCCUUUGUACACACCGCCCGUCGCUCCUACCGAUUGGGUGUGCUGGUGAAAUGUUCGGAUCGGCCGUUUGUCGCGGUUUCCGCGUCAUGUGGCUGAGAAGUUCAUUAAACCCUCCCACCUAGAGGAAGGAGAAGUCGUAACA
Molecule: ribosomal RNA, 327 nt
Filed under: uncultured eukaryote
Lineage: Eukaryota
Description: partial 18S ribosomal RNA
Rfam family: Eukaryotic small subunit ribosomal RNA
Source: RNAcentral